AUUGAACGCUGGCGGCAUGCUUUACACAUGCAAGUCGAACGGCAGCGCGGGCUUCGGCCUGGCUGCGAGUGGCGAACGGGUGAGUAAUGCAUCGGAACGUGCCCAGUAGUGGGGGAUAGCCCGGCGAAAGCCGGAUUAAUACCGCAUACGACCUGAGGGUGAAAGCGGGGGACCGAAAGGCCUCGCGCCAUUGGAGCGGCCGAUGUCGGAUUAGCUAGUUGGUGGGGUAAAGGCUUACCAAGGCGACGAUCCGUAGCUGGUCUGAGAGGACGACCAGCCACACUGGGACUGAGACACGGCCCAGACUCCUACGGGAGGCAGCAGUGGGGAAUUUUGGACAAUGGGGGCAACCCUGAUCCAGCCAUGCCGCGUGCGGGAAGAAGGCCUUCGGGUUGUAAACCGCUUUUGUUCGGGAAGAAAUCCUCUGGGCUAAUACCCCGGGGGGAUGACGGUACCGGAAGAAUAAGCACCGGCUAACUACGUG
Molecule: ribosomal RNA, 484 nt
Filed under: uncultured bacterium
Lineage: Bacteria
Description: partial 16S ribosomal RNA
Rfam family: Bacterial small subunit ribosomal RNA
Source: RNAcentral